ACGAACGCUGGCGGCAUGCCUAACACAUGCCAGUCGAACGAGACCUUCGGGUCUAGUGGCGCACGGGUGCGUAACGCGUGGGAACCUGCCCUUAGGUUCGGAAUAACUCCCCGAAAGGGGUGCUAAUACCGGGUAAUGUCUUCGGACCAAAGAUUUAUCGCCUUUGGAUGGGCCCGCGUUGGAUUAGCUAGUUGGUAGGGUAAAAGCCUACCAAGGCGACGAUCCAUAGCUGGUCUGAGAGGAUGAUCAGCCACACUGGGACUGAGACACGGCCCAGACUCCUACGGGAGGCAGCAGUGGGGAAUAUUGGACAAUGGGCGAAAGCCUGAUCCAGCAAUGCCGCGUGAGUGAUGAAGGCCUUAGGGUUGUAAAGCUCUUUUACCCGGGAUGAUAAUGACAGUACCGGGAGAAUAAGCGCCGGCUAACUCCGUG
This 432-nucleotide ribosomal RNA is filed under the name uncultured bacterium. RNAcentral's name for it is "partial 16S ribosomal RNA". It matches the Rfam family "Bacterial small subunit ribosomal RNA", at positions 29 to 507 of the family's 1533-position model. The record is from RNAcentral.